RNAcentral lists this long non-coding RNA (539 nucleotides) under Homo sapiens (human). Its description in RNAcentral is "long non-coding RNA NONHSAT180037.1". Lineage: Eukaryota; Metazoa; Chordata; Mammalia; Primates; Hominidae. The record is from RNAcentral.
CGGGAAUCGGGAAGGGAUGGCCCCGGAAGUGAUAAGGCAGGAUUUCCAGGCAGGGGAAGUGGCAUUUAGGAGAACUGGCUAUUUAAGGGGGCGGUCAGUGCUGACACAGACAAAGCAUUCACUGGCUGGGAAUGGCCGCCACCCAGUGGCUCUGAGAACUAGACUUGGAAGUCUGGCACUGGGAGCUGUGCCAACUUGGACCAAACUUUGGGCGCAAAGCACGACGUGGCAGACGAGGAACCACACUAGAACGGGCCACGCCUACCCAAGAUUUACGAGGCCGUCCUUUCCCUCAUGCAAUCGCAAUGGGAAAAGGAGGAAACUAAGGCUCCGGGCAGGUCCCUGACGCAAGCGGGAAGACAGCGCACCACAACGACCCGAGCCUCCUAACGCGCGGGCCUCCCCUACUGAGCCUGGUUGGCGGAGGGGAGUCUUAAAGCCGCCGCCAUCUGGAGAACCAGCUUUACAAGGACCCUCACUCACUACUCUUCGGCGGCCCCAAAGCCUCUGGGGGGCCCUCUAUGGCCACCACUUGCUCC